This 468-nucleotide ribosomal RNA is filed under the name uncultured bacterium. RNAcentral describes it as "partial 16S ribosomal RNA". It matches the Rfam family "Bacterial small subunit ribosomal RNA", at positions 28 to 507 of the family's 1533-position model. The record is from RNAcentral.
GACGAACGCUGGCGGCGUGCUUAACACAUGCCAGUCGAACGGAAAGGCCCUGCUUUUGUGGGGUGCUCGAGUGGCGAACGGGUGAGUAACACGUGAGUAACCUGCCCUUGAUUUUGGGAUAACUUCAGGAAACUGGGGCUAAUACCGGAUAGGAGCUCCUGCUGCAUGGUGGGGGUUGGAAAGUUUCGGCGGUUGGGGAUGGACUCGCGGCUUAUGAGCUUGUUGGUGGGGUAGUGGCUUACCAAGGCUUUGACGGGUAGCCGGCCGGAGAGGGUGACCGGCCACAGUGGGACUGAGAUACGGCCCAGACUCCUACGGGAGGCAGCAGUGGGGAAUAUUGCACAGUGGGCGGAAGCCUGAUGCAGCAGCGCCGCGUGCGGGAUGACGGCCUUCGGGUUGUAAACCGCUUUCGCCUGUGACGAAGCGUGAGUGACGGUAAUGGGUGAAGAAGCACCGGCUAACUACGUG